GUGAGUAACACGUGAGUAACCUGCCCCUGACUUCGGGAUAAGCCCGGGAAACUGGGUCUAAUACCGGAUACGACUGCCGGACGCAUGUCUGGUGGUGGAAAGUUUUUUCGGUUGGGGAUGGGCUCGCGGCCUAUCAGUUUGUUGGUGAGGUAAUGGCUCACCAAGACGACGACGGGUAGCCGGCCUGAGAGGGCGACCGGCCACACUGGGACUGAGACACGGCCCAGACUCCUACGGGAGGCAGCAGUGGGGAAUAUUGCACAAUGGGGGAAACCCUGAUGCAGCGACGCAGCGUGCGGGAUGACGGCCUUCGGGUUGUAAACCGCUUUCAGCAGGGAAGAAGCGCAAGUGACGGUACCUGCAGAAGAAGUACCGGCUAACUACGUGCCAGCAGCCGCGGUAAUACGUAGGGUACGAGCGUUGUCCGGAAUUAUUGGGCGUAAAGAGCUCGUAGGUGGUUGGUCACGUCUGCUGUGGAAACGCAACGCUUAACGUUGCGCGUGCAGUGGGUACGGGCUGACUAGAGUGCAGUAGGGGAGUCUGGAAUUCCUGGUGUAGCGGUGAAAUGCGCAGAUAUCAGGAGGAACACCGGUGGCGAAGGCGGGACUCUGGGCUGUAACUGACACUGAGGAGCGAAAGCAUGGGGAGCGAACAGGAUUAGAUACCCUGGUAGUCCAUGCCGUAAACGUUGGGCACUAGGU
RNAcentral lists this ribosomal RNA (701 nucleotides) under Brevibacterium sp. Its description in RNAcentral is "bacterial SSU rRNA". It matches the Rfam family "Bacterial small subunit ribosomal RNA", at positions 106 to 821 of the family's 1533-position model. Lineage: Bacteria; Bacillati; Actinomycetota; Actinomycetes; Micrococcales; Brevibacteriaceae. The record is from RNAcentral.